This is a non-coding RNA of Ascodesmis nigricans, 132 nucleotides long. The record is from the annotation of a GenBank genome assembly. Lineage: Eukaryota; Fungi; Ascomycota; Pezizomycetes; Pezizales; Ascodesmidaceae.
GGUUCUGUAGCUCAGCUGGUAGAGCCCGGAAUAGUUUAGCAUAUCGCUUAACCAUUAUCCUUAAAGACGCGUUCCUAAUGGAUCUGUAUGAAUUGUAGCCGGAGAUGUGGAUUUCGAGUCCCACCGGAACUA